GAGUUUGAUCAUGGCUCAGGAUGAACGCUGGCGGCGUGCCUAAUACAUGCAAGUCGAGCGAACAGACGAGGAGCUUGCUCCUCUGACGUUAGCGGCGGACGGGUGAGUAACACGUGGAUAACCUACCUAUAAGACUGGGAUAACUUCGGGAAACCGGAGCUAAUACCGAAUAAUAUAUUGAACCGCAUGGUCCAAUAGUGAAAAACGGUUUUGCUGUCACUUAUAGAUGGAUCCGCGCCGCAUUAGCUAGUUGGUAGGGUAACGGCUUACCAAGGCGACGAUGCGUAGCCGACCUGAGAGGGUGAUCGGCCACACUGGAACUGAGACACGGUCCAGACUCCUACGGGAGGCAGCAGUAGGGAAUCUUCCGCAAUGGGCGAAAGCCUGACGGAGCAACGCCGCGUGAGUGAUGAAGGUCUUCGGAUCGUAAAACUCUGUUAUUAGGGAAGAACAAAUGUGUAAGUAACUACGCACGUCUUGACGGUACCUAAUCAGAAAGCCACGGCUAACUACGUGCCAGCCGCCG
Molecule: ribosomal RNA, 526 nt
Filed under: uncultured microorganism
Description: bacterial SSU rRNA
Rfam family: Bacterial small subunit ribosomal RNA
Source: RNAcentral